UACGAAGGGGGGCUAGCGUUGCUCGGAAUCACUGGGCGUAAAGGGUGCGUAGGCGGGUCUUUAAGUCAGGGGUGAAAUCCUGGAGCUCAACUCCAGAACUGCCUUUGAUACUGAGGAUCUUGAGUUCGGGAGAGGUGAGUGGAACUGCGAGUGUAGAGGUGAAAUUCGUAGAUAUUCGGAGGAACACCAGUGGCGAAGGCGGCUCACUGGUCCGGUACUGACGCUGAGGUGCGAAAGCGUGGGGAGCAAACAGG
This 254-nucleotide ribosomal RNA is filed under the name uncultured bacterium. Its description in RNAcentral is "partial 16S ribosomal RNA". It matches the Rfam family "Bacterial small subunit ribosomal RNA", at positions 524 to 776 of the family's 1533-position model. The record is from RNAcentral.